UCCGUAGGCGGUUUUGUAAGUCAGUGGUGAAAGCCCAUCGCUCAACGGUGGAACGGCCAUUGAUACUGCAAGACUUGAAUUAUUGGGAAGCAACUAGAAUAUGUAGUGUAGCGGUGAAAUGCUUAGAGAUUACAUGGAAUACCAAUUGCGAAGGCAGGUUGCUACCAAUAUAUUGACGCUGAUGGACGAAAGCGUGGGAGCGAACA
Molecule: ribosomal RNA, 206 nt
Filed under: uncultured bacterium
Lineage: Bacteria
Description: partial 16S ribosomal RNA
Rfam family: Bacterial small subunit ribosomal RNA
Source: RNAcentral